This 748-nucleotide long non-coding RNA is filed under the name Rattus norvegicus (Norway rat). RNAcentral describes it as "long non-coding RNA NONRATT018837". Lineage: Eukaryota; Metazoa; Chordata; Mammalia; Rodentia; Muridae. The record is from RNAcentral.
UGACCCAAUGUGCUACUGCUGCUACUGCUGCUUGCUGCUCCUGCUGUGUGCCCGCCCAGCCCCGCCCCCUGCCCCGCCCGCCUGUCCAGCAUAGCCUGGAGUGGCGGGCGGGGCACAGCUUGUCCACCAGUCAGGGCAGCUGGAGCUUUUCCAACUGUGCUGAGAGCUGCAUGGCUGCAAGCUGAUUGGACCCACAACUUAAGUAUACCUCACUUCUCGCAAUGGGCUGUGUCCCUGGAGGAUUUCGAAAAGCGAAUCCUACCCAGUAAAUGCAGCAUUCCAGGAACACCUUGAAGGAAAUAUGCGAUUCCUUUGGCAAAGGAUUCCUUUAGCAGGAUUCCUGCAAAGGGAGCUCUCAGGGUAGAUAGUUUUAUGCACAAAGCGCUUUCUUCCAGUUUGGCUUUAAGAGAAGCACUUUUGCGCGCGCACUUGCGCGCUCUUUUUCCAUAAAAUGAUUCCCCCUUUUUUCCUUUUCUUUCUUUCUUUCCUUCUUUAUUUAUUUAUUUUUUGGAAGUGUUCUUUCCCCUUCCGUUUUUGUCCUGCGCAGGGCAUUUUCCUCUAGUUGAUUUAUUCAAAGUGUGUUCCCAAUUCGUUUUCUUUUCCCUGAUUCUUUGUUUCUUUUCCAAUGCGCUUUUAUCCAAUCCAUUUUUUUCUCCUAGUAAGUGCCUUUGUCUGUUUAUUUUUCCUGCAAUGCGUGUUUUCUCUAUUUCCUCCCCCUUACUUUUUUCUCUUAUUUAUUGCGAUUCUU